RNAcentral lists this RNase P RNA (420 nucleotides) under Skermanella stibiiresistens SB22. RNAcentral describes it as "Bacterial RNase P class A". It matches the Rfam family "Bacterial RNase P class A". Rfam says of the family: Ribonuclease P (RNase P) is a ubiquitous endoribonuclease, found in archaea, bacteria and eukarya as well as chloroplasts and mitochondria. Lineage: Bacteria; Pseudomonadati; Pseudomonadota; Alphaproteobacteria; Rhodospirillales; Azospirillaceae. The record is from Rfam by way of RNAcentral.
CCAGGUGGCUGGAUGGCCGCUUCCCAUGGGAUCCCAUGGGGAGAGGAAAGUCCGGGCUCCACGGAAAUACGGUGCCGGGUAACGCCCGGCGGGGGCAACCCCAGGGAAAGUGCCACAGAAAGCAAACCGCCGGCCCCAUUCCAAGGCUUGUCCCUGGAGUCGGUCGGCAAGGGUGAAAGGGUGCGGUAAGAGCGCACCGCGCGCUCGGCAACGAGGGCGGCACGGUAAACCCCACCGGGAGCAAGACCGAAUAGGGGCGACAGGGUGUCAAAAUCCAGCGCAUUUCCGCGCCGUCGCCCGGGUUGGUCGCGUGAGGCGUCCGGUAACGGACGUCCCAGAUGAAUGGUCAUCCACCGCGGCUUUCCGGGCGACCGGAUAGCAUGGCGGGGACAGAACCCGGCUUACAGGCCGCCUGGCACC